CCCGAAGCCCCUGCUGUACAGGAAGAGGGAAAGAUGCUUCCCCAUCAGCCAACUGCAUCCACUGGAAAGAGGUAAGUGUGUGUGUGUGACUGUUUGCCUGUUUGUGUGACUGUCUGUCUGUGUGUGUGUGUGACUGUCUGUCUGUGUGACUGCCUGUCCUUGUGUGUGUGUGUGUGUGUGUGACUGUCUGUCUCUGUGUGUG
Molecule: non-coding RNA, 202 nt
Organism: Pelobates cultripes (western spadefoot toad)
Lineage: Eukaryota; Metazoa; Chordata; Amphibia; Anura; Pelobatidae
Source: the annotation of a GenBank genome assembly